This 454-nucleotide ribosomal RNA is filed under the name uncultured bacterium. RNAcentral describes it as "bacterial SSU rRNA". It matches the Rfam family "Bacterial small subunit ribosomal RNA", at positions 364 to 832 of the family's 1533-position model. The record is from RNAcentral.
UUCGCAAUGCCCGAAAGGGUGAACGAGCGACGCCGCGUGCGGGAUGAAGGCCUUCGGGUUGUAAACCGCUUUUCUUAAGGAAGAACUUAAUGACGGUACUUAAGGAAUAAGAGGUUACUAACUCUGUGCCAGCAGUAGCGGUAAUACAGAGACCUCAAGCGUUAUCCGGAUUUAUUGGGCGUAAAGGGUGUGUAGGCGGCCGCGCAAGUCUGGUGUGAAAUCUUCACCGCUCAACGGGAAGAGGGCACUGGAAACUGCGCGGCUCGAGUAUGGUAGAGGCAAGCGGAAUUCCUGGUGUAGCGGUGGAAUGUGUAGAGAUCAGGAAGAACACCGGUGGCGAAGGCGGCUUGCUGGGCCAUUACUGACGCUGAGACACGAAAGCGUGGGGAGCAAACGGGAUUAGAUACCCCGGUAGUCCACGCGGUAAACGGUGGGCACUAAGUAGAGGGGUUUU